RNAcentral lists this ribosomal RNA (450 nucleotides) under uncultured bacterium. RNAcentral describes it as "partial 16S ribosomal RNA". It matches the Rfam family "Bacterial small subunit ribosomal RNA", at positions 354 to 796 of the family's 1533-position model. The record is from RNAcentral.
GUGGGGAAUAUUGGACAAUGGGCGGAAGCCUGAUCCAGCCAUGCCGCGUGUGUGAAGAAGGUCUUCGGAUUGUAAAGCACUUUAAGUUGGGAGGAAGGGCAGUAAGCUAAUACCUUGCUGUUUUGACGUUACCGACAGAAUAAGCACCGGCUAACUUCGUGCCAGCAGCCGCGGUAAUACGAAGGGUGCAAGCGUUAAUCGGAAUUACUGGGCGUAAAGCGCGCGUAGGUGGUUCAGCAAGUUGGAGGUGAAAUCCCCGGGCUCAACCUGGGAACUGCCUCCAAAACUACUGAGCUAGAGUACGGUAGAGGGUAGUGGAAUUUCCUGUGUAGCGGUGAAAUGCGUAGAUAUAGGAAGGAACACCAGUGGCGAAGGCGACUACCUGGACUGAUACUGACACUGAGGUGCGAAAGCGUGGGGAGCAAACAGGAUUAGAUACCCCAGUAGUCC